GAUGAACGCUGGCGGCGUGCCUAAUACAUGCAAGUCGAGCGAACAGACGAGGAGCUUGCUCCUCUGACGUUAGCGGCGGACGGGUGAGUAACACGUGGAUAACCUACCUAUAAGACUGGGAUAACUUCGGGAAACCGGAGCUAAUACCGGAUAAUAUAUUGAACCGCAUGGUUCAAUAGUGAAAGGCGGUUUUGCUGUCACUUAUAGAUGGAUCCGCGCCGCAUUAGCUAGUUGGUAAGGUAACGGCUUACCAAGGCAACGAUGCGUAGCCGACCUGAGAGGGUGAGCGGCCACACUGGAACUGAGACACGGUCCAGACUCCUACGGGAGGCAGCAGUAGGGAAUCUUCCGCAAUGGGCGAAAGCCUGACGGAGCAACGCCGCGUGAGUGAUGAAGGUCUUCGGAUCGUAAAACUCUGUUAUUAGGGAAGAACAAAUGUGUAAGUAACUAUGCACGUCUUGACGGUACCUAAUCAGAAAGCCACGGCUAACUACGUG
This 497-nucleotide ribosomal RNA is filed under the name uncultured bacterium. RNAcentral describes it as "partial 16S ribosomal RNA". It matches the Rfam family "Bacterial small subunit ribosomal RNA", at positions 28 to 507 of the family's 1533-position model. The record is from RNAcentral.